GGCCCGUGACCGCGGGAGCGCGACCCGCUUGAGACAGGCGGUGGGGGCCGUAGGCAGCCGGCCUAGGCCGCGCCUGGGCCCUGCUGCCCGCGGCGAUGGCGGCCGCGGCCGUGAGCGGGGCGAGAGGCCGUGGCAGGCCGAGGGCCCCGGCAUCCGCCCUUGAGCGCUGGCGGAGAGGCGCAGGGCUUUCGGCUGCGUCCCCGGCACCGUCCCCGCGGGUGCGCUGUGAGGCAGGGGCUCUGCCCGGAGAGGCGGAGCGCCGAACCCUCAGCGGAACCCCCCCAGGGCAACGCGCCCUGCCGUGGCAACUAACAGCAGGGAAAGGGGGAACCAGCUACCCCAAAUACUACGCGGGCUUGGUUGUCUCCUCGCGUCCAGAACGAAGUUGUCGCGGCCUGAGGUGGAGUAAGAUAGGUGUCCGCCUCAGUCUGCCGAGAAUGAUGAUACCUUACUAGUUGCCACGAUGACUGACAGGCUAUUAAUUUAGGAUUAACUCAGAACUUGAGUUAAGUAAGAGCAGCCUGUGGGGACAGCAUGUGAGAAGAGUCACAGGAAGAAAGGAAAAGACUGGAUUCGUUAGCAGCAGGCUGCAGGGGAAUGUAGUAAGAAGCAAGACUAUAGCCAUAGGUUGGAAAGCACAGGCUUAGGAACGGAGAUGAAAUGUUUAAGGUAAGUCUGACUUUAAAGUUAUUAAGGUUAACGAACUCCCCAAAUCUUCAGUGGGAUCAUCUGAAGAAAGGAAUAAGCAGGUUCGAAUGUUGGGAUUAAAGAAAGCCCUGUUACAAAGUGAGAAAGGUGAGUUUCAGUGCUGUGGUUUGAAUAGACAGAGGUCCUGAAUGACCCUAGCGCAAGACACUGAAGCAAUUAAGAAGGGAGAACGAUAGCAGAAAAAAAGCUGUGUGUUUGACUAGCCAACCACGGAGGUAAGGUUUUGUUGCAAGGAGGGCAUACUAUACAGAGCUGCUGUAUGUUAUUAUUUGUUACUGUUGAGUCUUUUAAUUAAAAUGACUAGUCGGGACUCACAGAUGCCUUAGUAUUCACUGUUUCUGUCACAAGUCAUGAAGACAUUGCUGUCAUCUACUCAGGCUGCACAGAUCAUGUUGCACAGAAGAGCCAGGCAAGCCGAAGAGAGGUGUCUGUGGGAUAGAGGAAUGCAGGGAGAAACACUCAUCACUUCUGAGGUGCUGUCUGUACUUUUGUUUGAUCCUCUGAUUGUAUGCCUUACGUCCAUUCCAGCACUGGCCUGUAUAGCUACUCACACAACUUCAAGAUAUGCAGUAACAGAACAGCUUUGGCCCUUUCUCGUCCACCUUUUGAGAUGGGCAUGUACUGUACACUGUUUACGACGGAGAGAAAAAUCUGGGAUUUCACUGCUGUCAGCUCUGGCAAACAUGUCUUGAGUUUUCCUAUGUGUACAUGAAGUUCCAGCCCACAGAGGUUUCCAGUCCAACUGGGGCUGAAGGACAGUGCUGUCCAGUUGGAUGGCUGCUCCCAGAACCAGCCCAUCAAGGGUGAGCAGUCAGUCAGUUAUGUCAAAGGAGGAGGACAGCAUGAGAUAUCGCUCCUUCUGUCUGCUCUGUGCCUGGUGAAAGGAGGAGUGAGGAGUUCAGGUUUUGUACAGGGAUAUAGAAGUAGGGGGUCAUGAACUCCCGAUUUCCUACUAACCUCUGCAAACCCUGUGCCAUAGGCACGUUCAUAAAUUUAUUGGGGUCCACUCAUUCAUGUACCUGUUAGUGUUUUUCUCAAAAAUCAAGAAGGGAGGGUGGUUUGGCCUGAAGUGAUAUAUGAAAUAUCAUCAGGAAUUGAGGUGAAGAUGGUAGGAAAAAAGGCAUUAGACUGGGACAAAAUUGAUACGAAUGGUUACGGAAAUAAUUUGUUACAAUUUCUGGAUUAGUGGGUGAGUUGGGAGCACCAGCCAGUUUCAUUGAAAGGAGAAUCUUGCUUUCAAAAUCUUAUGAUUUGGGAGCCAAGCUUGUGAUUUUUGACAUUUGAUUUUUUUUUUCCCCCCAUGCUUCAGGGUGGUAAAAACAUAAAAUCUUCAGUCUGUUUUUACAUGUUCUAAAGUCUUUAGCUUCUUCAAGUGUUCUUCAAGUGACUGAUAGCAGAGGUUGUCCUGAGUCAAGGUGGACACCACAACCCAUAAAUCCUCUGCAGGUGAAGGACAGGACUAGUGAAGACAGUUACUAUUGCCUGCUGUCUUUUGUAGCUAGGCCUAAGUAGGACUGUUUCUUCAUUCUCCAGCUAGCUCCAGAAUGUUCUACUCAAAGAUCGUGAGUAAACCCCAAGCUGUAAGAGGCACUUGAUUUUUAGUAGUACUUUGGAGGCCCUUUGUGUGUGCCCUGUCUUUUGUUUGAGGGAUGCACUCUGCCCACAUUUUCAGAGUUUCCCGUCAGCCACAAGAGCCGUAACGUUCCCUGAAGCUGAGCCUCUUGCUGACUUGUGUGUCUCUCGGGAGGGCAGCGUUGUGUGAAAGCAGAAGCAGAGCUGUAUUCGUGGCACAGCUGUGAGGACAGGUAGAAGCCAGAUGUGCCAGAGGAAAGCUGGAAGACACGCAGGGAGAACAGUGUGAAUGAGGGCAUGGUCAUCUGGAAAGGGGAGCAACAGGGAGUGUGAGGCUAGAAAUAAGAGUGGUGUUAGGGGGAGGGAGAGAGAGAAAUGAUGGCAGAGCAGACUUGAGGGAUUUUGAUCAUAAUAUGGUAGAGCGUAGGAGGGAAGGUGGUGGGUGAAGAAAGCAGGGAUGAGUCAGGACAUGGUAAAGAGUGGGACUCCCGGAGGACAAAACGGUAGUUAUCCGUGAAUGCAGAAAUUAGGAUUGGCAUAGAUCACAGAGCGGGAGAUGGAGAUACUUGUGUAUUUGUGCUGUAAAUUUGAAUUCUUAACUUGGAAGUAUGCUGUGCCAUCCUAGGCCAUUUACCAUCUACACAACAUUGUGACAAAGGCACAGGUAAGUGACUAUUAUUAUUACUUUCUCAGUGUAAUAAGCCUGAAUGAGCCCAAAGUGGUAUUUUUGGACUCUUGAAGCUGCCAGUACUACGUUCUGUCUCUGGAAGAGAUAAGGUGAAAAAAUUUUAGCGUAGUGGGUUUUUCUUCCUAUUGUGACACUGUUGGGAGUGAUCGGUUAAAGCCACUAAAAUAUCCUAUGCCCAGGGAACAAAAGAACCAUUGAUAAUAUAAUGUUUUUGCUGUCUGGUUUCAGAUGCUCAUUUGAGCAAUGAAUGAUUCAUCUAUUUGACUCUUGGAUUCUGAGCUUUUGAAGAAUGUAGAUAUAUUAAAAUGGCAUAAAAAAAAGUCUGAAGUGGACUCUGAGAGUUUAUUCAGAGCUCGUUCACCCUCUCUGCCCCCAUGCAGGGUCAGUCAUGCAUAUGUUGCUCCUUCAUUCAGUGUGUUCUUCAACAUCUCUGGUGGUGAACUCUCUCUUCCAAAGCCUCCUCAAGCAGGCUGUUUCUCUGGUUUAAAAUUUAUGCUUUUGGAAAGCUGUUCUGAUCCGUAACUGUGACCCUUCCUACUGCAUCAGAAGCCUGUACGUUUGGUCCUGUCCACCAUGAGCACCUGGAUCAGAUUGUCCCCUUUCUCUUUGCAACAGAUGUUUACCUGCUUUUAACUUUUUGAAUUCCUUCUCAAUCUCCUUCUUAGGUUAAACAGCAUUGAAAGGCCUACUAAAAUCAAAUGUACAGUAAGUGCUCUGUCCUAUACAAGGGGCCUGUUACUCUGCUAUAGAGGGAAAUGAGAUUGGUUUGGCACCCGUUGUUCUUGAAAAUUUAGUGUUGGUCCUUACCUUCUUCUUAUCUCUGAAGUACUUACAAAUCGGUUGCUUGAUUAUUUUUUUCCAGAAGUUUUCUGGGGAUCUCUCUAUCCCUCUUUCCAGCAAUGAAUUUUGAUUGUUGCUCUCAUUUCAAAUUCAACUGUGGCUUGUGUUUAUAUAUUAUGCAAAAAAUUAAAUUAACCGGAAAUAAACGAGGUAGAUUAGCUGAUUGUUCUAAUAAUGUAGAGUUCUGAAGUCUGUGUCUUUGGUACUUGCAUUCUCAUUGCUUUUUAGGGGUUUUUUAAUUUUGAAGUUCUGCCAUAUGUAUAUCUAUCCAAGUAAGUAGGUUGUGUGUUUUGUAUGUCAAGAUGCCUCAGAUGCUUGGCUGCACUGAGAACAUUAUUUCAGUGUUAGAGCUUUUCGUUCUUUCCUUGGUUUAAAAAAUUGUUUGAUUGAGAUAUUAUGGUUUUUUAUUUACAUGCAGUAUGUCUUUGCAAGCUUCAUUGUUUGGAAAUAUAACAUGAUGUGCUAUAAAUAAAAGUAACUGGGAUGAGUUAACACACACUAAUGAGGAAUUCAGGACUUCUGCUUUUUAGCCAAAGGGAAUGCAAAAGAUAUUGCCCAAGGAUGUGCUACAUGAUUGCAGCUGCACAGAUCAUUCCUUCCAAAACCUUGCAGUCUCAAAAGACCAAGGAAUGGCAAAAAAAAGGGUAUCCAUUUCUGCUUUUUCAUACUCUCCUUUCUAAAAGUACUAGUUUAUGUUUUAUAUUUCUCAUUUCUUGAUUUUUUGCAUUAAUCUCUGCAUAUUAUUUAGUUAAAUAAUGGCUGAUUAGUGUUUUCAAGAUAGAUCAGUGCCCUUGCCUUUAUCGUUUAACAUUAUCUAAAUAGGCAGCUUGGCAAGACUCAACUUUUGACACCUUCUUCUCAGCAAACACUGAAAAUGUUUCUGGUUCUCAGUCUCAGCCUGUGCCUGCUGUAGAUUCAGCCAUCUAUUUGGGAAACUCUUUACUGUAAUUCUCAUCAUAUAGAAAGCAUAUCAAUGAAAAUAAUGUAUACUUUUCCCAUGUGGGAGUAGAAGGAAGAACAUAUAAAAUUAUAUGCUGAA
Molecule: long non-coding RNA, 4847 nt
Organism: Harpia harpyja (harpy eagle)
Lineage: Eukaryota; Metazoa; Chordata; Aves; Accipitriformes; Accipitridae
Exons: 2
Source: RefSeq, a predicted model, not a curated record